RNAcentral lists this ribosomal RNA (433 nucleotides) under uncultured bacterium. RNAcentral's name for it is "partial 16S ribosomal RNA". It matches the Rfam family "Bacterial small subunit ribosomal RNA", at positions 29 to 507 of the family's 1533-position model. The record is from RNAcentral.
AACGAACGCUGGCGGCAUGCCUAACACAUGCAAGUCGAACGAUGCCUUCGGGCAUAGUGGCGCACGGGUGCGUAACGCGUGGGAAUCUGCCUUUCGGUUCGGAAUAACUCAGGGAAACUUGAGCUAAUACCGGAUAACGUCGCAAGACCAAAGAUUUAUCACCGAAAGAUGAGCCCGCGUAGGAUUAGCUAGUUGGUGAGGUAAAGGCUCACCAAGGCGACGAUCCUUAGCUGGUCUGAGAGGAUGAUCAGCCACACUGGGACUGAGACACGGCCAGGACUCCUACGGGAGGCAGCAGUGGGGAAUAUUGGACAAUGGGCGAAAGCCUGAUCCAGCAAUGCCGCGUGAGUGAUGAAGGCCUUAGGGUUGUAAAGCUCUUUUACCCGGGAAGAUAAUGACGGUACCGAGAGAAUAAGCCCCGGCUAACUCCGUG